GGGAUAUUAGCUCAGGUGGUAGAGCACUUGACUUUUAAUCAAGUUGUCNNUUCGAAUCCCCGAUGUCUCA
Molecule: transfer RNA, 70 nt
Filed under: Eubacterium sp.
Lineage: Bacteria; Bacillati; Bacillota; Clostridia; Eubacteriales; Eubacteriaceae
Description: tRNA-Lys
Rfam family: tRNA
About the family: Transfer RNA (tRNA) molecules are approximately 80 nucleotides in length. Their secondary structure includes four short double-helical elements and three loops (D, anti-codon, and T loops).
Source: RNAcentral